This 1357-nucleotide ribosomal RNA is filed under the name uncultured bacterium. RNAcentral describes it as "bacterial SSU rRNA". It matches the Rfam family "Bacterial small subunit ribosomal RNA", at positions 28 to 1381 of the family's 1533-position model. The record is from RNAcentral.
AUUGAACGCUGGCUGCAGGCUUAACACAUGCAAGUCGAGCGGUAACAGGAGAAGCUUGCUUCUUGCUGACGAGCGGCGGACGGGUGAGUAAUACUUAGGAAUCUGCCCAGUAGUGGGGGAUAGCUCGGGGAAACUCGAAUUAAUACCGCAUACACCCUACGGGGAAAAGGGGGCGCUUGCGCUCUCGCUAUUGGAUGAGCCUAAGUCGGAUUAGCUAGUUGGUGGGGUAAAGGCCUACCAAGGCGACGAUCUGUAGCUGGUCUGAGAGGAUGAUCAGCCACACCGGGACUGAGACACGGCCCGGACUCCUACGGGAGGCAGCAGUGGGGAAUAUUGGACAAUGGGGGCAACCCUGAUCCAGCCAUGCCGCGUGUGUGAAGAAGGCCUUUUGGUUGUAAAGCACUUUAAGCAGUGAAGAAGACUCUAUGGUUAAUACCCAUAGACGAUGACAUUAGCUACAGAAUAAGCACCGGCUAACUCUGUGCCAGCAGCCGCGGUAAUACAGAGGGUGCAAGCGUUAAUCGGAAUUACUGGGCGUAAAGCGAGCGUAGGUGGCUUGAUAAGUCAGAUGUGAAAUCCCCGGGCUUAACCUGGGAACUGCAUCUGAUACUGUUAGGCUAGAGUAGGUGAGAGGGAGGUAGAAUUUCAGGUGUAGCGGUGAAAUGCGUAGAGAUCUGAAGGAAUACCGAUGGCGAAGGCAGCCUCCUGGCAUCAUACUGACACUGAGGUUCGAAAGCGUGGGUAGCAAACAGGAUUAGAUACCCUGGUAGUCCACGCCGUAAACGAUGUCUACUAGUCGUUAGGGAACUUGAUUCCUUAGUGACGCAGCUAACGCAAUAAGUAGACCGCCUGGGGAGUACGGCCGCAAGGUUAAAACUCAAAUGAAUUGACGGGGGCCCGCACAAGCGGUGGAGCAUGUGGUUUAAUUCGAUGCAACGCGAAGAACCUUACCUGGUCUUGACAUAUCUAGAAUCCUGCAGAGAUGCGGGAGUGCCUUCGGGAAUUAGAAUACAGGUGCUGCAUGGCUGUCGUCAGCUCGUGUCGUGAGAUGUUGGGUUAAGUCCCGCAACGAGCGCAACCCUUUUCCUUAGUUACCAGCGGUUUGGCCGGGGACUCUAAGGAUACUGCCAGUGACAAACUGGAGGAAGGCGGGGACGACGUCAAGUCAUCAUGGCCCUUACGACCAGGGCUACACACGUGCUACAAUGGUAGGUACAGAGGGCAGCUACACAGCGAUGUGAUGCGAAUCUCAAAAAGCCUAUCGUAGUCCAGAUUGGAGUCUGCAACUCGACUCCAUGAAGUCGGAAUCGCUAGUAAUCGCGGAUCAGAAUGCCGCGGUGAAUACGUUCCCGGGCCU